This 364-nucleotide ribosomal RNA is filed under the name uncultured bacterium. Its description in RNAcentral is "bacterial SSU rRNA". It matches the Rfam family "Bacterial small subunit ribosomal RNA", at positions 29 to 418 of the family's 1533-position model. The record is from RNAcentral.
AGCGAACGCUGGCGGCAGGCUUAACACAUGCAAGUCGAACGGGCGUAGCAAUACGUCAGUGGCAGACGGGUGAGUAACGCGUGGGAACGUACCUUUUGGUUCGGAACAACCCAGGGAAACUUGGGCUAAUACCGGAUAAGCCCUUACGGGGAAAGAUUUAUCGCCGAAAGAUCGGCCCGCGUCUGAUUAGCUAGUUGGUGAGGUAACGGCUCACCAAGGCGACGAUCGGUAGCUGGUCUGAGAGGAUGAUCAGCCACAUUGGGACUGAGACACGGCCCAAACUCCUACGGGAGGCAGCAGUGGGGAAUUGUUCGCAAUGGGCGCAAGCCUGACGACGCAACGCCGCGUGGAGGAUGAAGACCUU